UUGGUAUAAAAUCUGACUGCUGCACUGCAGAUAAUAGGCUUUGGUCACUGGAGUUGCUGCUGUGCUCCGAGCUACUCAGCACUGGGGCUGAGAUUGGUGAAGGAUAGAGCAUCAUGUGCUUAGAGUUCACGAGGUCCAUGACGUUUGUUUCAUCAGAACACGUUAUGCAAGUUGUGGCGCCUACCAAAAUAAUGCAUCAUUAUUGCCAGCUCAAGACAGUGGCCACCGUAAUCAAAAUGUGUGCUGGAGAUAUAGUAUCAUUAUAAGAAUAUGAUUAGGCAGACGAUAUGCUCUGCUCGAAUGGGUCUCAGAAAAGGAUGUUGCAGUGCAGAAUGCACUCGAAGUUUCAGUCUGAAGAAAUGACGGAGUGAAAAUGGUGGCUUUGCAUGAAUAUAAUUAGGUUGGUGGAUGGUGAUGAGCUCAUCCACUCGCGAACGGCCUUAUGCAGAGCAUUUACUUAGUGGCGGAUAAGGUUAAGUGAAAGUGGAAAAUUUUCGUUCAGGAUCCAUCUGUUCGGUGGUUUUCAUCAUUUAAUUCGUGCUGCAAGUGGAGCAGAUUGCCCUGUCCUUGGCUGAGCCCACCUCACUCCCUAUCGAACAUGGAGGGCCUAACCAGGUAACACUCCACUUUUUUUGAAGUUGAAGCUGAACCUCUCGAAUGAUCAAGACCGUGUCUUUUUCUGGGCAGAGCUUGAAGUUCCAGCUCUAAGUUCCUAUGAAAGUGCUUUUGCAUUUUUCUGAUCUCAAAUCUGGGAGCUUCAAAUAGAGCCCGAAUCUGUAAGCCGAGUUGCAAUAAAGUUCGAAUAAGUGUGUUUGUUUGAUUUUGACAUAAUUGGAUUCAGUUUCAGAAAAUCAUGUUGAGAGUUGGCAUCCGAACAUGAAGCUGUAUACGCUAGAUCCAGAUUUGUAGGAUUUGGCAAAUGCGUAGUACAGCCUUACCCAUAACAACUGUCCACGUCCACACUGUGAAAAGUCAUCAUCGACUCUUAAGAACUCUCUAGAAAGCUCAAGUCUAAGCAUAUCGACUUAGAGAGCCGGAGUCUCUUGUUUUGCUAAACCGUGUGCUAUAUAAAAAAUAGAAAAUAUUUUACCAAGUUGUAGAAUGUUGUGGAAGUCUCCACCACUGACAUUUUCACUCCUAUAAAUAGCGCAUGGGUUCUCAGUGUACAAUUUCUUAUGUGUGGUGUCAAGUGAAGCGUGGGUGCGUCAAGUGGAAGGAGUUGUUCCCUUUGGGUCAUGCGUGAACUGCUGGUGGCCAUGCUUACUACGAUCAUUUUGGAUUGCAAAAUUUGCGAAGAAAGCUUAUGAUUACACGUACCAUCCUGUUUAAACGAUUCAGAUCUCAAAUCUCAGGAGCAGGACCUAGGAUCUUAGGUACAUGCACUUUGAGUCUGAAAAGAACGAAUAAUUGCAUAGUUUCAGUUGAGGUCCUUAUGGCACCACAAAUAUGUGGAUUGCAUAGACUGGGGCUUUGGUAUGGGCCAUGCACUAAAUCCAAAUCCAAACUCUAGAUUUUGGGGACCAUGUUUCUUCGUCCAAGUUGAGAUGGAAUCGUUCAGGCAGUUAUUCAACAUCCCAGUUAAAGAUCCUUCUCGAAAUUCGUUCAUCUACAUCAGAGGGACCUGAAUUGAUUGGAUGCUUUUUGGUAGAUCGACUAAGUUUAUAAGAAUGCGCUUCAAGGAAGAAAAAGUUUAAGUAUCUCGAAAUGUUGAGGAAACAUAAAGACAUGCUUGUGAAUACUUUGUUUACCUGUACAUGCAUGCAACCCAGUGAACAAGAGAAAGCUGAAAAAAAUAUCAUGGGUUGCAAGUUCAAAAGGGUUUUGCUACAUAAAGAUAGAGCUGACGGAUGUAAAAGAGAGCUUCUUUCUCCAUGAAGAGUGAUUGAAGAAGAAAUUAUUUCCUCAUUUAUCAGAAUAUAUGAUCUAUCUGUGAAAAGUCGGGCCACACAAGCUAAUUAAUUUGAAUCUGAGAAUAUUGGUCGUGGUUACUUUGUGCUGCUGAUAAAAACGAAGUGAUACAUUGAAAAUGCGUAAACGACACAGGAAAGAACAAAAAUUUAUUUAUGUCAGAACUUUACCAAGCUGAAAGAGCGUGAGGUUGAUUGUUCAUCUUCUCUGAUGCAAGGAACCUGUACACACAAGAAGGAAGAAGACAUAUGAAGGACUGUUUUUUCUUUUGUUUCUUUGACGACAGGUUGAGGCCAUAAGGCCGGCCCUGCCGAAGUUAUCUCAAGCGAGAUAAGAUGCACCAGAGCUAUCGAACUUUCGUUCAACUUAAAUGCGAUCAGUUGAGUUUCAGAUGGCC
Nymphaea colorata (pocket water lily) is the source of this 2305-nucleotide long non-coding RNA. RefSeq lists it as uncharacterized. The transcript has 3 exons. NCBI's taxonomy places the organism in Eukaryota, Viridiplantae, Streptophyta, Magnoliopsida, Nymphaeales, Nymphaeaceae. The record is from RefSeq and is a predicted model, not a curated record.